Molecule: ribosomal RNA, 165 nt
Filed under: uncultured bacterium
Lineage: Bacteria
Description: partial 16S rRNA
Rfam family: Bacterial small subunit ribosomal RNA
Source: RNAcentral
UAGGGAAUCUUCGGCAAUGGACGAAAGUCUGACCGAGCAACGCCGCGUGAGUGAAGAAGGUUUUCGGAUCGUAAAACUCUGUUGGUAGAGAAGAACGUUGGUGAGAGUGGAAAGCUCAUCAAGUGACGGUAACUACCCAGAAAGGGACGGCUAACUACGUGCCAC